CAAAUUUGAAAUCUGGCCCCCCCCGCGGGGGCCCGAGUUGUACUUUGGAGAGGAUGCUUUGGGCGCGGCGCCGGCCGAGUUCCCUGGAACGGGACGCCAGAGAGGGUGAGAGCCCCGUACGGCCGGACGCCCAGCCCGUGCAAAGCUCCUUCGACGAGUCGAGUAGUUUGGGAAUGCUGCUCAAAACGGGAGGUAAAUUUCUUCUAAAGCUAAAUACCGGCCAGAGACCGAUAGCGCACAAGUAGAGUGAUCGAAAGAUGAAAAGCACUUUGAAAAGAGGGUUAAACAGCACGUGAAAUUGUUGAAAGGGAAGCGCCUGGGGCCAGACGUGCGCCCCGCGGACCACCCGGCGCCCCGCGCGCCGGGGCACGCCGCGGGCGCGCAGGCCAGCAUCGGCUCCCCGCCAGGGGGACAAGGGCCGCGGGAACGUAGCUCCUCCGGGAGCGUUAUAGCCCGCGGCGCCAUGCCCCUGGGGGGGCCGAGGACCGCGCUCCCCGCGAGCAAGGAUGCUGGCGUAAUGGCCCCCAGCGACCCGUCUUGAAACACGGACCAAGGAGUCAAGCAUUGGGGCGAGUGUCUGGGUGCCAAACCCGCACGCGAAAUGAAAGUGAACGCA
This 616-nucleotide ribosomal RNA is filed under the name Raffaelea aff. cyclorhipidia. RNAcentral's name for it is "partial large subunit ribosomal RNA". It matches the Rfam family "Eukaryotic large subunit ribosomal RNA", at positions 110 to 733 of the family's 3401-position model. The record is from RNAcentral. Lineage: Eukaryota; Fungi; Ascomycota; Sordariomycetes; Ophiostomatales; Ophiostomataceae.